AAAGUCGUAACAAGGUUACCGUAGAUGAAUCUGCGGUAGGAUCAUUAGGGAGGGUGUGGUACGGCGUCACCGGUAGGUGGCGGCGUUGCUCUACUUAUUCUGGUGGUGUGGGGGGAUGUUUGGGGGGGGGUUGGCAGUGUACACGUGUAUAUGGCGAUGCUUUGCAGCAUCACCCGCGUGCGCCGCUCAAUGCUCACCCCCUGACACCCCACACUACACAACACCUAUGCUAUACUCGCCUCAUACACAACAAAUAACAAACAACUUUUAACAACGGAUCUCUUGGCUCUC
This 291-nucleotide unclassified non-coding RNA is filed under the name Basidiomycota sp. RNAcentral's name for it is "partial contains small subunit ribosomal RNA, internal transcribed spacer 1, and 5.8S ribosomal RNA". The stretch from base 1 to 47 matches the Rfam family "Eukaryotic small subunit ribosomal RNA", at positions 1785 to 1831 of the family's 1831-position model. The record is from RNAcentral. Lineage: Eukaryota; Fungi; Basidiomycota.